RNAcentral lists this long non-coding RNA (695 nucleotides) under Heterocephalus glaber (naked mole-rat). Its description in RNAcentral is "lncRNA (ENSHGLG00100040924.1)". Lineage: Eukaryota; Metazoa; Chordata; Mammalia; Rodentia; Bathyergidae. The record is from RNAcentral.
CCAGCUCUUUUAAAACUUUGAGACAGGGUCCUGCUAAAUUGCCCAAGCUGCCCUUGAACUUGCAGUCUGGCUGCCUCAGCCUCCUGAGUAGCUGGGAUUACAGGCAUGGGCCACGAGCCCUGCCUUGAGUGCAGGUGGAGGGCGAACUUGAUCCUGUGAAGGCAGCAUUUGAUCCAACAAAAUGGGAGGGCAGGUCAGUGUGUGUGAAAAAGGUGUUUUUAAGGACAACUAGUCUGGGAGCAACGUGCAUCGAGGGAGACCACUUGGAGGCAUUCACAAGAAACCAGGCAGACAUCAGGUCGCAGUGCUGGAGUGUUAAGAGGAAAACUAGAAACCAACAGCAAGAGGAGUGAAAUUGUUCAUAGAAUACAGGAAUCUCCCAUGAUAACAGAAUUACUCUGUGAAGUGGUUAUUGUAAUUGACGCUCACCUGCAGUCAGUUUCUUCACAGCUUCACCAACACGAGGAGCUAGAAAACUAGAGAAGCAACAGUGAGGAGCCAGAGGGCUGCACUUCCUUUCUCAAGACCCAGAAACAACGGAGCGAGACCCAGAUUCCUGGAUCCACUGUUCCGGCUAUGGAGCACUCCUGGAAAACUUCCGGAUACGACGCUCUUCUUUUAGAAAGGCCUCUACGGGUCGGAGAUUUAGCUCCGUGGCACCGCGCCUGCCUGGCAAGCUCAAAUUCCCGAGUUCG